This 253-nucleotide ribosomal RNA is filed under the name uncultured bacterium. RNAcentral's name for it is "partial 16S ribosomal RNA". It matches the Rfam family "Bacterial small subunit ribosomal RNA", at positions 524 to 776 of the family's 1533-position model. The record is from RNAcentral.
UACAGAGGGGGCAAGCGUUGUUCGGAAUUACUGGGCGUAAAGGGCGCGUAGGCGGCCUGCUAAGUCGAACGUGAAAUCCCCGGGCUCAACCCGGGAACUGCGUCCGAUACUGGCAGGCUUGAAUCCGGGAGAGGGGUGCGGAAUUCCAGGUGUAGCGGUGAAAUGCGUAGAUAUCUGGAGGAACACCGGUGGCGAAGGCGGCAUCCUGGACCGGCAUUGACGCUGAGGCGCGAAAGCCAGGGGAGCAAACGGG